This 396-nucleotide long non-coding RNA is filed under the name Physcomitrium patens. RNAcentral describes it as "long non-coding RNA (PPAT_LNC003882)". The record is from RNAcentral. Lineage: Eukaryota; Viridiplantae; Streptophyta; Bryopsida; Funariales; Funariaceae.
GUGGCAGUGUUUUUAAUGGAACCGGUUUUUUUGUGAGAAAUCAUAUAAUCGUGUAAUGUUUUGUUUUGAAGUUCGCUAAGGACUAUGAAGCUCAAGACUGAGCAACAUGAGGAGGAGCAAAUAAUUGUGCUUAGCUUCCUAAAUUCUGCUGAUCACUGCCAGGGAGGUGUGUCGUAACUUACCAAAUUCUGUUGUACGCAUGAGUAGUUCCAUUCUAUUAGAAAGGUGCGGACGAACGCCACUAAAAUGUCAAUCACAUCCAUAUUUGUGUAGUUUUCUCAAAGGUCGAGGAUGAGAAAUUGAAUCAUUGCGUCAUGUUUUUUUUGGAGUUUGCUUGACAUUGGAAAACUCAAGAUUAAGCAACGUAUUGAAGAGAAAAAAAAUGGAUAUAAUAUC